CCUACGGGGGGCAGCAGUGGGGAAUAUUGCACAAUGGGGGAAACCCUGAUGCAGCGACGCCGCGUGAGUGAAGAAGUAUUUCGGUAUUUAAAGCUCUAUCAGCAGGGAAGAAAAUGACGGUACCCGAUUAAGAAGCCCCGGCUAACUCCGUGCCAGCAGCCGCGGUAAUACGUAGGGGGCAAGCGUUAUCCGGAUUUACUGGGUGUAAAGGGGGCGUAGGCGGCAGGACAAGUCUGGAGUGAAAUGCCGGGGCUUAACCCCGGAACUGCUUUUGAAACUGUGCGGCUAGAGUGCAGGAGAGGUAAGUGGAAUGCCUGGUGUAGCGGUGAAAUGCGUAGAUAUUAGGAGGAACACCAGUGGCGAAGGCGGCUUACUGGACUACUACUGACGUUGAGGCACGAAAGCGUGGGGAGCAAACAGGAUUAGAUACCCGUGUAGUC
Molecule: ribosomal RNA, 440 nt
Filed under: uncultured bacterium
Lineage: Bacteria
Description: partial 16S ribosomal RNA
Rfam family: Bacterial small subunit ribosomal RNA
Source: RNAcentral